GUCUGCUGUCUUUCUUAGCCUAUGGAGAAGGGUCCUUGCAGAAUGCCCCACCCCACCCCGUCCCACCAUGACUAACUCUCUUCUCCUGGGCUGCAGAAGGACCACACGGGCCAGAUGGACCAAUACCUGGUGCAUGGGGAUGAGUACAAGGCACUUCGUGAUGCAGUGGGCAAAGCCAUGCUCGAGUGCAAGGCCCCCAGCCUCGAGGCUGCUCUGAUGGCCUGCAGGAGCCCCAGAGCUCAACAGGCUGUCUACCUGCUGCUGGUGCUGUUCCGAGAAGUGGCUGCUCUCCACUGUUCUCACAAUGCAGACCUCCACCCUAAGCCAGAGGUGAGUGACACAUUGAGGCUUAUGUUCAGUCU
RNAcentral lists this long non-coding RNA (362 nucleotides) under Ictidomys tridecemlineatus (thirteen-lined ground squirrel). Its description in RNAcentral is "lncRNA (ENSSTOG00000032894.1)". The record is from RNAcentral. Lineage: Eukaryota; Metazoa; Chordata; Mammalia; Rodentia; Sciuridae.